Molecule: ribosomal RNA, 834 nt
Filed under: Shigella flexneri
Lineage: Bacteria; Pseudomonadati; Pseudomonadota; Gammaproteobacteria; Enterobacterales; Enterobacteriaceae
Description: partial 23S ribosomal RNA
Rfam family: Bacterial large subunit ribosomal RNA
Source: RNAcentral
UGUGAUUCGUCACACUAUCAUUAACUGAAUCCAUAGGUUAAUGAGGCGAACCGGGGGAACUGAAACAUCUAAGUACCCCGAGGAAAAGAAAUCAACCGAGAUUCCCCCAGUAGCGGCGAGCGAACGGGGAGCAGCCCAGAGCCUGAAUCAGUGUGUGUGUUAGUGGAAGCGUCUGGAAAGGCGUGCGAUACAGGGUGACAGCCCCGUACACAAAAAUGCACAUACUGUGAGCUCGAUGAGUAGGGCGGGACACGUGGUAUCCUGUCUGAAUAUGGGGGGACCAUCCUCCAAGGCUAAAUACUCCUGACUGACCGAUAGUGAACCAGUACCGUGAGGGAAAGGCGAAAAGAACCCCGGCGAGGGGAGUGAAAAAGAACCUGAAACCGUGUACGUACAAGCAGUGGGAGCACGCUUAGGCGUGUGACUGCGUACCUUUUGUAUAAUGGGUCAGCGACUUAUAUUCUGUAGCAAGGUUAACCGAAUAGGGGAGCCGAAGGGAAACCGAGUCUUAACUGGGCGUUAAGUUGCAGGGUAUAGACCCGAAACCCGGUGAUCUAGCCAUGGGCAGGUUGAAGGUUGGGUAACACUAACUGGAGGACCGAACCGACUAAUGUUGAAAAAUUAGCGGAUGACUUGUGGCUGGGGGUGAAAGGCCAAUCAAACCGGGAGAUAGCUGGUUCUCCCCGAAAGCUAUUUAGGUAGCGCCUCGUGAAUUCAUCUCCGGGGGUAGAGCACUGUUUCGGCAAGGGGGUCAUCCCGACUUACCAACCCGAUGCAAACUGCGAAUACCGGAGAAUGUUAUCACGGGAGACACACGGCGGGUGCUAACGUCCG